RNAcentral lists this ribosomal RNA (497 nucleotides) under uncultured bacterium. RNAcentral's name for it is "partial 16S ribosomal RNA". It matches the Rfam family "Bacterial small subunit ribosomal RNA", at positions 28 to 507 of the family's 1533-position model. The record is from RNAcentral.
GACGAACGCUGGCGGCGUGCCUAAUACAUGCAAGUUGAGCGAUGAAGCUUGGUGCUUGCACCAAUUUGAAGAGCAGCGAACGGGUGAGUAACGCGUGGGGAAUCUGCCUUUGAGCGGGGGACAACAUCUGGAAACGAAUGCUAAUACCGCAUAAUAACUUUAAACAUAAGUUUUAAGUUUGAAAGAUGCAAUUGCAUCACUCAAAGAUGAUCCCGCGUUGUAUUAGCUAGUUGGUGAGGUAAAGGCUCACCAAGGCGAAGAUACAUAGCCGACCUGAGAAGGUGAUCGGCCACAUUGGGACUGAGACACGGCCCAAACUCCUACGGGAGGCAGCAGUAGGGAAUCUUCGGCAAUGGACGAAAGUCUGACCGAGCAACGCCGCGGGAGGGAAGAAGGGUUUCGGAUCGUAAAACUCUGUUGGUAGAGAAGAACGUUGGUGGGAGUGGAAAGCUCAUCAAGUGACGGUAACUACCCAGAAAGGGACGGCUAACUACGUG